GCCAACGUAGCUCAGGGGUAGAGCAAGUGAUUCGUAAUCACUAGGUCGUCGGUUCAAUUCCGACCGUUGGCUCCA
This 75-nucleotide transfer RNA is filed under the name Candidatus Aminicenantota bacterium. RNAcentral's name for it is "Candidatus Aminicenantes bacterium tRNA-Thr". It matches the Rfam family "tRNA". From Rfam's summary of the family: Transfer RNA (tRNA) molecules are approximately 80 nucleotides in length. Their secondary structure includes four short double-helical elements and three loops (D, anti-codon, and T loops). Further hydrogen bonds mediate the characteristic L-shaped molecular structure. tRNAs have two regions of fundamental functional importance: the anti-codon, which is responsible for specific mRNA codon recognition, and the 3' end, to which the tRNAs corresponding amino acid is attached (by aminoacyl-tRNA synthetases). tRNAs cope with the degeneracy of the genetic code in two manners: having more than one tRNA (with a specific anti-codon) for a particular amino acid; and 'wobble' base-pairing, i.e. permitting non-standard base-pairing at the 3rd anti-codon position. Lineage: Bacteria; Candidatus Aminicenantota. The record is from RNAcentral. RNAcentral also lists the same sequence under 2 other names.